ACCCCUUUUCUGAGAGGAAAAAUAGCCACAGUGGAGCAACCAGGGGUCUAUGACUCUUGACUCCACGCAGAAACUCGUUUGUAGCCAGAUAGCACUCCCACCAGGCGGAAAAUCACUCUUACUACAGACCAUGCCCCGACCCAAAACUCUAGUUUUUUCUGUUUAGUAUUCCCUGCAAGAGAGUACCCCUUUUCUGAGAGGGAAAAUAGCUAUAGUGGAGGAACCAGGGGUUUAUGACUCUGCUUUCACAUUGAUAAAUUUUAAGAAGGGGCAAUUAAAGCUUCAAGCAUUCCAUAAUCACAAGAUAACAUCACCUCAGAUUGGAAAGUAUUUCCCAUGCAAAAGCUGAGUCUCAAGGUGAACAGUGCACCGAAUCUCUAGGCUUCGCAUUCUCAAAUUCGCCUUUCGUUCAUCAUCGCUUCUACUAUCUUGACGUGGUAACAGACAAAACACAAUGAGUCUGUCGUUGUGAGAGGACUAGCGGAUAAACCUGGAAACUGAAAAGUACUAGUGGUGGGAGGAGCUAUGUUAAUGUGCCAAAACACCAUCGCCAAAUCAAAAAAAUUGCAUUAUUUUGUUUUAAAAAAAUUAUUACAAAAAAAAAUAUAUAUGAAUAAAAAAAUCAAUUUUAUUUUACCGAAGAAAAGAAAAAAAAAUAGAAUAAAUUUAAAUGUUGUAUUAAGUCCACAUUGAGUCUUAAUUUUUACAUUACACUGAUCAAAUAUUCAGGGUUUUUUCCCCUUUGUUACUGUAACCCAUCCAUCUUCAUCAGGUUCACUUCUAGUUGAUUUCCUUGUGGUAUCUAAAUCUUCUCUGUGAUUUUGCAAAGAACCUUCAAGAUCAUUCUCUUCAUUCAAUGUAGAAUUGUCAUGAUUUGUGGUGGUUUUGGAGAGAUGAACAGAGCUGCCUUUAAAUUUCUUUAAUUCUAAAAUGACUUCUGCUUCGUUUCCAUCCUUGAUUAAUUGGAAGUAUUUACACAAGCUUUCCCCCAUCUCUUCGAGACUGCCAUCCUCACACAAAGUGUUGAAUUCAUUAUUCAUAAGAUCUUCCAUGUACUCUGCAAUUUCCUGAGCCAAAACAUUAUCUAAAAAUAUUUUUAACAAUUAUUAAAAAACUACUUGUGGAAGUAAAUUGCAUAAAACUACCAUUUUCUUUAAAAAAAUUUUCUACUACAGUUACCAUCCAUUUUGCUAUUUCUUUGCUUUGUGUUCCACCCAACUGGUGCUCCACUGCAAGCUGUUAAAACCAACAAACAAAUUGAAUCACUCGAAAAUUUAUUUUGGCGAAAAAUAUCCACACAAUUUACCUGCAGUGCAGUCCAAUUAUUAAAGAGAGUUUCCACUACCGUAAAAAACAAACUCAUGCUUGCAAAUUCAAGAACAUGUGUCAGUGUCUCAGGCGUGUAAGCAGACGACAAACAAAAAGAAAACAUAAUCGACAGCCGUCCAGUCAGGAAGACAAGGUAACACGCAUACAUGCAAAUUUAGGAGUGAAUCGUUUGCCAGUGCUAGUAGCUGUGACUGAUUCAUACAUCUUUUCAAGUGUUUUAAUGCAGUCAAGAAGUUUAAAAGAUCUCUUGGACAAAUGGCCUGGUAAAAAGUAUCUGGGUAUCUAUCGAUUCCUACCCAUCUUCUUUGCAUUAGGUGCUGCUCUGGAGUUUUCUAUGAUACAUUGGAAAGUGGGAUCAACAAAUUUCUGUAAGAUCUAGUUAUUAAAAAAUUUUCAUUCAAGUUACGUUAACAAUUUGUUACUUUCCCUCAGACUCUACAUUCAAGAAAAGCCAAGCAGAAAA
Long non-coding RNA from Daphnia magna, 1792 nucleotides. RefSeq lists it as uncharacterized. The record is from RefSeq and is a predicted model, not a curated record. NCBI's taxonomy places the organism in Eukaryota, Metazoa, Arthropoda, Branchiopoda, Diplostraca, Daphniidae. The transcript has 2 exons.